RNAcentral lists this ribosomal RNA (269 nucleotides) under uncultured prokaryote. RNAcentral describes it as "partial 16S ribosomal RNA". It matches the Rfam family "Bacterial small subunit ribosomal RNA", at positions 524 to 792 of the family's 1533-position model. The record is from RNAcentral.
UACAUAAGGAGCAAGCGUUGUCCGGAAUCAUUGGGCGUAAAGAGCUCGUAGGCGGUAUCGAAAGUCAGCUGUGAAAUCACCAGGCUCAACCUGGUAGGGUCAGCUGAAACUUCGGUACUUGAGGGUAGAAGAGGAAAGCGGAAUUCCCGGUGUAGCGGUGAAAUGCGUAGAUAUCGGGAGGAAUACUAGUGGCGAAGGCGGCCUUCUGGACUGACACUGACGCUGAGGUGCGAAAGCGUGGGUAGCAAACGGGAUUAGAUACCCUGGUA